This 482-nucleotide ribosomal RNA is filed under the name uncultured bacterium. RNAcentral's name for it is "partial 16S ribosomal RNA". It matches the Rfam family "Bacterial small subunit ribosomal RNA", at positions 30 to 507 of the family's 1533-position model. The record is from RNAcentral.
AUUGAACGCUGGCGGCAUGCCUUACACAUGCAAGUCGAACGGUAACAGGUCUUCGGAUGCUGACGAGUGGCGAACGGGUGAGUAAUACAUCGGAACGUGCCCAGACGUGGGGGAUAACGAGGCGAAAGCUUUGCUAAUACCGCAUACGAUCUAAGGAUGAAAGCAGGGGACCGCAAGGCCUUGUGCGUUUGGAGCGGCCGAUGGCAGAUUAGGUAGUUGGUGGGAUAAAAGCUUACCAAGCCGACGAUCUGUAGCUGGUCUGAGAGGACGACCAGCCACACUGGGACUGAGACACGGCCCAGACUCCUACGGGAGGCAGCAGUGGGGAAUGUUGGACAAUGGGCGAAAGCCUGAUCCAGCAAUGCCGCGUGCAGGAUGAAGGCCUUCGGGUUGUAAACUGCUUUUGUACGGAACGAAAAGGCUCUGGCUAAUACCUGGGGCACAUGACGGUACCGUAAGAAUAAGCACCGGCUAACUACGUG